UCAGGAUGAACGCUGGCGGCGUGCUUAACACAUGCAAGUCGAACGGUGAAGGGGAGCUUGCUCUCUGGAUCAGUGGCGAACGGGUGAGUAACACGUGAGCAAUCUGCCCCUGACUCUGGGAUAACAGUUGGAAACAGCUGCUAAUACUGGAUACGAGACGUGAAGGCAUCUUCAACGUCUGGAAAGAAUUUCGGUCAGGGAUGAGCUCGCGGCCUAUCAGCUUGUUGGUGAGGUAACGGCUCACCAAGGCGUCGACGGGUAGCCGGCCUGAGAGGGUGACCGGCCACACUGGGACUGAGACACGGCCCAGACUCCUACGGGAGGCAGCAGUGGGGAAUAUUGCACAAUGGGCGAAAGCCUGAUGCAGCAACGCCGCGUGAGGGACGACGGCCUUCGGGUUGUAAACCUCUUUUAGCAGGGAAGAAGCGAAAGUGACGGUACC
This 442-nucleotide ribosomal RNA is filed under the name soil bacterium 1V-05. RNAcentral's name for it is "bacterial SSU rRNA". It matches the Rfam family "Bacterial small subunit ribosomal RNA", at positions 24 to 479 of the family's 1533-position model. The record is from RNAcentral.